AACGCAUAUUGCGCCCUUUGGUAUUCCGAAGGGCAUGCCUGUUCGAGCGUCAUUAUCAACCCUCAAGCUUAGCUUGUUGUUGGAUAUGUUAUUAUCUCAAUAACUAUCCCAAAGACAACGGCGGCGUCUUUUGACCCUUGAUGCAUUGAGCUUUCUAUAAGCACGCGUCUAAAGUGGUUGAUUCAUGCUAGACCUUUCUAUAUUUUUCUAAGGUUGACCUCGGAUCAGGUAGGAAUACCCGCUGAACUUAA
Molecule: unclassified non-coding RNA, 251 nt
Filed under: uncultured fungus
Lineage: Eukaryota; Fungi
Description: sequence contains ITS2
Rfam family: 5.8S ribosomal RNA (bases 1-52)
Source: RNAcentral